This 67-nucleotide transfer RNA is filed under the name Ochotona thibetana sacraria. RNAcentral describes it as "tRNA-Tyr". It matches the Rfam family "tRNA". From Rfam's summary of the family: Transfer RNA (tRNA) molecules are approximately 80 nucleotides in length. Their secondary structure includes four short double-helical elements and three loops (D, anti-codon, and T loops). Lineage: Eukaryota; Metazoa; Chordata; Mammalia; Lagomorpha; Ochotonidae. The record is from RNAcentral.
GGUAAGGUGGCUGAGUAGAGCAUUAGACUGUAAAUCUAACCAUAGGGGUUUAGUCCCCUUCUUACCA